This is a long non-coding RNA of Aphis gossypii (cotton aphid), 2032 nucleotides long. RefSeq lists it as uncharacterized. NCBI's taxonomy places the organism in Eukaryota, Metazoa, Arthropoda, Insecta, Hemiptera, Aphididae. The record is from RefSeq and is a predicted model, not a curated record. The transcript is spliced from 2 exons.
GCACGGUGUUUUGCGGUGAAUACUAUGAAAGACAAAACAAAAAAAAAAUUCUAUACAUUUUAAAUUAGUUUAUUAUGAGCCGUAGAGCGCGAUGCCCUAAGAAAGUGCUCGCAGUACACAGUUUAGGAACCGCUGUUCUAGACGAAUAUAAAUAUGGGCAUAAUUUUUUUCUUUUAUCAAAAUAUUAACCAAUGAGUGUUAUGCCCAUGAGCAUACCUAUCAUUUUUUUAUCUUUUUAAAAAGUUCUAGGAAGAUUUAAGUUUAUAAACAUUGCCCAACAAGUCAAUUUUUGACACUCUUCAGCUACUUAUAAUAGUCAACACUUGUCCAAAACUCUAUAAUUCCAACACAGAUGCCAUUUUAUAGUACGUGAAUUAAUUUUUCCCAUCUACAUAUAUUCAUUACAAUACUGUGAUAAAAAUUAAGAAAUAAUUCACUAACAUUAUUUGUUCGAAACAAAAUGAAAACGUCUAACUCGGUCAUCAACGUUUUAUUUGUAUGUCUCAUCUGUUCUCUCGCAAAGGUGAGCUGUAAGAAAACCAAAGGUGGCACGCCUACUUAUCAAGAAUUCUCAGAUACCAUAAACUCAACUAUACAUAAAAUAGAAGAAGUAUUUGAUCCCUACGUCAGUCAUGGUGAUCCGUAUGCUAAUAAGCCGACGUUUUGCGACGAUCAAAAGUGUGGUGGUUGUUCAGGUAAACCAUUCGAAAACAUUAACAAUUGUAUUAGAUGGUGUAAACCGCCGUGCAUGUGCAUAAGUCCCGCUAACGGAUCAGGCAACGACUUAACGUGUUUAAAGACCAGACACAGAAGGGCCAAUAGUGAAAACUGAAUUCGAACAGAGAAAUGAACAAAUUCGACUUUUAGAAAUUCGUAUACAGCGUAGACGCGUAGUAGUAGCAGGUAUACUGUGUAGAGAAAUAAGACUUAAGAAAGUUUAAUUAAAAAAUUAAUGUAAUAUAAUUAAUAAGAGAAGAGUUACAAAUAUUACAUUUUAUCGAUUUUCAAUUCAAAUACCAGCUUAUAUAAAUAUAAUCAAUUAACAAUUUAAGUAUUUAUCAAAUUAUUUAUCCCAUAAAGAUUAGCACCAAUUUAUACACAACACUAAUUAAAAUUUUUUUUUUCAGAUCUAGAUAAUCUAAUACUGUUUAUAGUAUCAUAAAGUUGUAUUAUAUUAUAAAUUAUAAUAAAUGCUUUGUGUAUUAAAAUAUAUUUUGUGGACCUAUUAUAAUACCUAUUAUAUAAAAUCACAAAAUUUAAAUUAAUUUUUUGUAUUAAUUGGCAGUUAUUUGGUUAUAAGUAGUUUUAAAGAACAUUAAUAAAAACAAUAUUUUAGUAUAAACUUAUAAUAAUGAAUUUUAUAGAAGUUUAAAAAUAAACAUAAUAAUGUAUAGAAAUGAUCAAUUAAUCAUAAACCAAACAAAAAUAACAUUUACUGAACAACAUACCUAUCAAAAUUUAGAUAAUGAUAUAAUAUACUAUUCAAUAGAUAAAAAUAUUUGCUAUUUAUGCUAAAUAAAUUAAUAUUUUUUUGAUACUGCGAUAGUGCAAUUAUAUGGAUGAGCAAAUACGUAUCACAGAUAUAUAAAACUAGAUAGCCGACUCGAUCUUAACAUCGAAGUACCGCCGUCAUUUAUAAAGCUAUCAAUGCUUACAUUAUACACCGUAUCGCAGAAAAUAUUCGUAUCAUAAUUCAUAAUAAUUAUAUCUAUUCUGUGUACUAACCACAAACAGUUAACACUUGUUUUUAAGUAUUUACAUUUUGCUACUUUUUUUAAAUUUCAAGCAUUUAGUCCGUGAUUUCAAGAAACUCAUCUCAAUUAUUAGAUAAAAUUAAAAACGUUUGUUUAACUGAAUUUUCAUUUAUAUCCAAUGUGACAUUUAAGAUGUUGUUUACUGAGAUAUUUAUAAUGUUAAUUAUUAUUAAAUAAUAUGAAAUUCAAAAUUUUAAAUAUUUAAUUUAAUUGCUCUCAGCUACUGAUGUCUGAUAUGUAUUCAAUUUUUUAAAAAUAAACUCACUAUUUUACACAAA